UGUUAAGAAAAAAAGGCGCGUUCAGCAUGAUCAAAAUAAAAAACAACUGUAGAGUGUUAUUAAUGCGAACGGACGUGUAUUUUCCGAUAGUUUUGUUGUACAAGAAAGGGGUCGCGAGAGUAGUCGUCGGUUCACGAUUAAGUCCAGGAUUUACCAACUGGCCUAUUGAGCAGCCUAUCGGGAGGAUAGAUACCUUUUGGUGGUCUAAGAGGAAUGAAUUCUCCUAAGUAGAAGUGAUAAGGGGCAACCGAUUAAUCACUUAGAUAGCUAAAAUGUGAAUAUAGGAUAUCUUAAAGGUUUUCACUUACAUUCGUAUGUACGAAACUUAUGCUGGAUGGAUUAACUUGAAAUUUAUAUACCAAACAUGAAAUUAUUUGGAACGAAGAUCCAUAAAUAAUUCGGUUUGACUUGACUUUCGGUUCCAGAAUGAUGGUAUUUUUAAUAAUUAAAAAAUUCAUAUAAAUACGCAUAUCUAACGAAAAUAAAUAAUUCUAUAAAAAUUGUAUAAUGAAUACAAUUUCUACAGGAAUAUUUAAGAUAGUGUAACAGGCAUUACCGUGAACUACAUCGGUCAUAUUUAUUUUGUAAAAGUAAAAAUGUAGUUUAUUUUAUGUUCUAUCACUGAAUAUUCAGUGCGUUUUUUUACAACAUAUUGUACGUUCCAAAGGAAGUGAUUUUUUACUUGUCACAUGCAUUAACUUCUAUUCAAUAUGGCGGCCGGGUCAACGUUCGAAUUAGCGUCUUUAUAACUGUAACGUAAAAUUCUGAACCUUUUAUCACAUUUUUACUGUUGUCACUAUGGCAAUUUCGUAAUCAAAUUUGCAAAUAUUUGGUUACAAUAAUCCAUCCUUGAGGAAUGUUAAUAGUUAAUAAAAGUGCAUGUUGUCUUA
This is a long non-coding RNA of Vespula vulgaris, 890 nucleotides long. RefSeq lists it as uncharacterized. NCBI's taxonomy places the organism in Eukaryota, Metazoa, Arthropoda, Insecta, Hymenoptera, Vespidae. The record is from RefSeq and is a predicted model, not a curated record. The transcript is spliced from 4 exons.